Long non-coding RNA from Tachyglossus aculeatus (Australian echidna), 441 nucleotides. RefSeq lists it as uncharacterized. The transcript has 2 exons. Lineage: Eukaryota; Metazoa; Chordata; Mammalia; Monotremata; Tachyglossidae. The record is from RefSeq and is a predicted model, not a curated record.
GAAAAAAUGAUGAAGAACUUGCAGUUUGUUCUUUCUGGGGAAGAGACAUUCACGUCCACAUCCAUUAGAAAAGACAAAAUGUGAACAAAAAUGAGCAACGAGGAGACCGUGCUGGUGAGGGAAAUAGAUCAAACUCUGGGAGUAAAUGCCAGGAGAGACAAUGAAUGAAUCAAAUCACCAUCUCCAAAAGAUGUAGAAACAGAGCCUCGUUAGAUCAGAAAGGAUCAGCAGCAUGAAACAACCCAUGGGUGACUGCUUCAGUGUGAAGACACAACAGAUGUGGGGUCAACAUUUUCAUCAGGAUAACACCAUUUUGUUCAAUCCAUUGCCUCAUGCCUUCUUCCAUUUGCUGUCUUAUUCUCCCAUCCUGCUAACCUGUACUAUAUAGAUUCAAACAUUUACUAUAGACAUUCAAUAUGAGAUCACAUUAAAGGUAUGAAA